This 710-nucleotide ribosomal RNA is filed under the name uncultured Cytophagaceae bacterium. Its description in RNAcentral is "bacterial SSU rRNA". It matches the Rfam family "Bacterial small subunit ribosomal RNA", at positions 94 to 803 of the family's 1533-position model. Lineage: Bacteria; Pseudomonadati; Bacteroidota; Cytophagia; Cytophagales; Cytophagaceae. The record is from RNAcentral.
AGUGACGUACGGGUGCGUAACACGUAUGCAACCUACCUUGUACAGGGGUAUAGCUCGGGGAAACUCGAAUUAACACCCCAUAACAUAAUGAUGUGGCAUCACAUUAUUAUUAAAACUCCGGUGGUACAAGAUGGGCAUGCGUCUGAUUAGUUAGUUGGCGGGGUAAUGGCCCACCAAGACGAUGAUCAGUAGGGGACCUGAGAGGGUGAUCCCCCACACUGGCACUGAGAUACGGGCCAGACUCCUACGGGAGGCAGCAGUAGGGAAUAUUGGUCAAUGGAUGCAAGUCUGAACCAGCCAUGCCGCGUGCAGGAAGAAGGCGUUAUGCGUUGUAAACUGCUUUUGCCAGGGGAUAAAAUAACUGUGCGCAGUUAAUUGAAGGUACCUGGUGAAUAAGCCACGGCUAACUACGUGCCAGCAGCCGCGGUAAUACGUAGGUGGCAAGCGUUGUCCGGAUUUAUUGGGUUUAAAGGGUGCGUAGGUGGCCCUGUAAGUCAGUGGUGUAAUAUCUCAGCUUAACUGAGAGGGUGCCAUUGAUACUGCAGGGCUUGAGUACAGAUGAGGUAGGCGGAAUUGACGGUGUAGCGGUGAAAUGCAUAGAUAUCGUCAAGAACACCGAUAGCGAAGGCAGCUUACCAAGCUGUAACUGACACUGAGGCACGAAAGUGUGGGGAUCAAACAGGAUUAGAUACCCUGGUAGUCCACACUGU